GCGAAAAACCAAAACAAAACAAAAAAUUGGAAUGGUACUGAGAAGAUUAGCAUGGCUCCUGUGCAGGGUUGACAUGCAAAUUCAUGAAGCAUAUAAUUAUAUG
Molecule: small nuclear RNA, 103 nt
Organism: Jaculus jaculus (lesser Egyptian jerboa)
Lineage: Eukaryota; Metazoa; Chordata; Mammalia; Rodentia; Dipodidae
Source: RefSeq, a predicted model, not a curated record